RNAcentral lists this ribosomal RNA (837 nucleotides) under Streptomyces sp. IM-8053. RNAcentral describes it as "bacterial SSU rRNA". It matches the Rfam family "Bacterial small subunit ribosomal RNA", at positions 38 to 889 of the family's 1533-position model. Lineage: Bacteria; Bacillati; Actinomycetota; Actinomycetes; Kitasatosporales; Streptomycetaceae. The record is from RNAcentral.
GGCGGCGUGCUUAACACAUGCAAGUCGAACGAUGAAGCCCUUCGGGGUGGAUUAGUGGCGAACGGGUGAGUAACACGUGGGCAAUCUGCCCUGCACUCUGGGACAAGCCCUGGAAACGGGGUCUAAUACCGGAUAUGACCAUUCUUGGGCAUCCUUGAUGGUGUAAAGCUCCGGCGGUGCAGGAUGAGCCCGCGGCCUAUCAGCUUGUUGGUGAGGUAAUGGCUCACCAAGGCGACGACGGGUAGCCGGCCUGAGAGGGCGACCGGCCACACUGGGACUGAGACACGGCCCAGACUCCUACGGGAGGCAGCAGUGGGGAAUAUUGCACAAUGGGCGAAAGCCUGAUGCAGCGACGCCGCGUGAGGGAUGACGGCCUUCGGGUUGUAAACCUCUUUCAGCAGGGAAGAAGCGAAAGUGACGGUACCUGCAGAAGAAGCGCCGGCUAACUACGUGCCAGCAGCCGCGGUAAUACGUAGGGCGCAAGCGUUGUCCGGAAUUAUUGGGCGUAAAGAGCUCGUAGGCGGCUUGUCACGUCGAUUGUGAAAGCUCGGGGCUUAACCCCGAGUCUGCAGUCGAUACGGGCUAGCUAGAGUGUGGUAGGGGAGAUCGGAAUUCCUGGUGUAGCGGUGAAAUGCGCAGAUAUCAGGAGGAACACCGGUGGCGAAGGCGGAUCUCUGGGCCAUUACUGACGCUGAGGAGCGAAAGCGUGGGGAGCGAACAGGAUUAGAUACCCUGGUAGUCCACGCCGUAAACGUUGGGAACUAGGUGUUGGCGACAUUCCACGUCGUCGGUGCCGCAGCUAACGCAUUAAGUUCCCCGCCUGGGGAGUACGGCCGC